Molecule: transfer RNA, 73 nt
Filed under: Dictyocaulus viviparus (bovine lungworm)
Lineage: Eukaryota; Metazoa; Nematoda; Chromadorea; Rhabditida; Metastrongylidae
Rfam family: tRNA
About the family: Transfer RNA (tRNA) molecules are approximately 80 nucleotides in length. Their secondary structure includes four short double-helical elements and three loops (D, anti-codon, and T loops). Further hydrogen bonds mediate the characteristic L-shaped molecular structure. tRNAs have two regions of fundamental functional importance: the anti-codon, which is responsible for specific mRNA codon recognition, and the 3' end, to which the tRNAs corresponding amino acid is attached (by aminoacyl-tRNA synthetases). tRNAs cope with the degeneracy of the genetic code in two manners: having more than one tRNA (with a specific anti-codon) for a particular amino acid; and 'wobble' base-pairing, i.e. permitting non-standard base-pairing at the 3rd anti-codon position.
Source: Rfam by way of RNAcentral
GUCUCGUUAGUGGAAUGUUCAAACACGGCAGGCCGGAUAUCUGAAAAUGUGGGUUCGAGUCCCGCCUGAGGUU